This is a long non-coding RNA of Clupea harengus (Atlantic herring), 456 nucleotides long. Lineage: Eukaryota; Metazoa; Chordata; Actinopteri; Clupeiformes; Clupeidae. The record is from Ensembl.
GUAUGUGUGUGUGUGUGUGUGUGUGUGUGUGUGAUAGUGAGAGAGGGAGAGAUAGAGAGAGAAAGAGAGAAAGUGCAGAUAUUGUUAUAGCAUUAAAUGUGAACACAUUCAUUCAUUCCACAGAUAAAUGAGUCUAUGUUAAUUGGUUUCUUGUGUCUCCUUGAGUUUAUAGACAACACACACACAGACCUCCAUCUCCAGUGCCCAGCUGUGUGUCCAUGAAGAGUGACCGGUCCAUGCCUUUACCUCUUAACUUCAGCAGUGAACCAGUUCCAUCAGGUCUUAAACGACACACACACAGACCUCCAUCUCCAGUGCCCAGCUGUGUGUCCAUGAAGAGUAAUCGGUCCAUGCCUUUACCUCUUAACUUCAGCAGUGAACCAGUUCCAUCAGGUCUUAAGUGAGUAGUUUUUAUAUUCAGACAUUUCAGUGAUGUCACAUGCAAUUAUUGACACA